Molecule: ribosomal RNA, 692 nt
Filed under: uncultured bacterium
Lineage: Bacteria
Description: bacterial SSU rRNA
Rfam family: Bacterial small subunit ribosomal RNA
Source: RNAcentral
GCAAGUCGAACGAGACCUUCGGGUCUAGUGGCGCACGGGUGCGUAACGCGUAGGCAAUCUACCCGAUACAGGGGAAUAACACGGGGAAACUCGUGCUAAUACCGCGUAAUAAAUGAGAAGGCAUCUUCUUAUUUUAAAAGCUUCGGCGGUAUCGGAAGAGCCUGCGUCCUAUUAGCUAGUUGGUAAGGUAACAGCUUACCAAGGCGACGAUAGGUAGGGGAACUGAGAGGUUGAUCCCCCACACUGGUACUGAGAUACGGACCAGACUCCUACGGGAGGCAGCAGUGAGGAAUAUUGGUCAAUGGACGGAAGUCUGAACCAGCCAUGUCGCGUGUCGGAAGACGGCCCUCUGGGUUGUAAACGGCUUUUCUUUGGGAAGAACACGCUCUUGCGAGAGCAACUGACGGUACCAAAGGAAUAAGCACCGGCUAACUACGUGCCAGCAGCCGCGGUAAUACGUAGGGUGCAAGCGUUGUCCGGAUUUAUUGGGUUUAAAGGGUGCGUAGGCGGCUAUUUAAGUCGUGGGUGAAAGCCCGUCGCUUAACGACGGAAUUGCCUGCGAUACUGGAUAGCUUGAGUAUCGUUAAGGUUGGCGGAAUGGGAGGUGUAGCGGUGAAAUGCAUAGAUACCUUCCAGAACACCGAUUGCGUAGGCAGCUGACUAGGCGAUAACUGACGCUGAGGCACGAAAGC